UCUGGUGAUGAUGGCGAAGAGGUCACACCCGUUCCCAUGCCGAACACGGAAGUUAAGCUCUUCAGCGCCGAUGGUAGUUAGGGGCUUCCCCUUGUGAGAGUAGGACGUUGCCAGGC
Molecule: ribosomal RNA, 116 nt
Filed under: Metabacillus malikii
Lineage: Bacteria; Bacillati; Bacillota; Bacilli; Caryophanales; Bacillaceae
Source: RNAcentral